RNAcentral lists this ribosomal RNA (254 nucleotides) under uncultured bacterium. RNAcentral describes it as "partial 16S ribosomal RNA". It matches the Rfam family "Bacterial small subunit ribosomal RNA", at positions 524 to 776 of the family's 1533-position model. The record is from RNAcentral.
CACGUAGGGUGCGAGCGUUGUCCGGAAUUAUUGGGCGUAAAGAGCUCGUAGGCGGUGUGUCGCGUCGGCCGUGAAAACCUGCAGCUUAACUGUGGGCGUGCGGUCGAUACGGGCAUCACUGGAGUUCGGCAGGGGAGAGUGGAAUUCCUGGUGUAGCGGUGAAAUGCGCAGAUAUCAGGAGGAACACCGGUGGCGAAGGCGGGUCUCUGGGCCGAUACUGACGCUGAGGAGCGAAAGCGUGGGGAGCAAACAGG